RNAcentral lists this ribosomal RNA (2923 nucleotides) under Klebsiella pneumoniae. RNAcentral's name for it is "23S ribosomal RNA". It matches the Rfam family "Bacterial large subunit ribosomal RNA". Lineage: Bacteria; Pseudomonadati; Pseudomonadota; Gammaproteobacteria; Enterobacterales; Enterobacteriaceae. The record is from RNAcentral.
GGGUUGUGAGGUUAAGCGACUAAGCGUACACGGUGGAUGCCCUGGCAGUCAGAGGCGAUGAAGGACGUGCUAAUCUGCGAAAAGCGUCGGUAAGGUGAUAUGAACCGUUAUAGCCGGCGAUGUCCGAAUGGGGAAACCCAGUGCAAUUCGUUGCACUAUCGUUAACUGAAUACAUAGGUUAACGAGGCGAACCGGGGGAACUGAAACAUCUAAGUACCCCGAGGAAAAGAAAUCAACCGAGAUUCCCCCAGUAGCGGCGAGCGAACGGGGAGCAGCCCAGAGUCUGAAUCAGCUUGUGUGUUAGUGGAACGGUCUGGAAAGUCCGACGGUACAGGGUGAUAGUCCCGUACACCAAAAUGCACAGGUUGUGAACUCGAAGAGUAGGGCGGGACACGUGGUAUCCUGUCUGAAUAUGGGGGGACCAUCCUCCAAGGCUAAAUACUCCUGACUGACCGAUAGUGAACCAGUACCGUGAGGGAAAGGCGAAAAGAACCCCGGCGAGGGGAGUGAAAAAGAACCUGAAACCGUGUACGUACAAGCAGUGGGAGCACCUUCGGGUGUGACUGCGUACCUUUUGUAUAAUGGGUCAGCGACUUAUAUUCUGUAGCAAGGUUAACCGUAUAGGGGAGCCGCAGGGAAACCGAGUCUUAACUGGGCGUUAAGUUGCAGGGUAUAGACCCGAAACCCGGUGAUCUAGCCAUGGGCAGGUUGAAGGUUGGGUAACACUAACUGGAGGACCGAACCGACUAAUGUUGAAAAAUUAGCGGAUGACUUGUGGCUGGGGGUGAAAGGCCAAUCAAACCGGGAGAUAGCUGGUUCUCCCCGAAAGCUAUUUAGGUAGCGCCUCGUGAACUCAUCUUCGGGGGUAGAGCACUGUUUCGGCUAGGGGGUCAUCCCGACUUACCAACCCGAUGCAAACUACGAAUACCGAAGAAUGUUAUCACGGGAGACACACGGCGGGUGCUAACGUCCGUCGUGAAGAGGGAAACAACCCAGACCGCCAGCUAAGGUCCCAAAGUCAUGGUUAAGUGGGAAACGAUGUGGGAAGGCACAGACAGCCAGGAUGUUGGCUUAGAAGCAGCCAUCAUUUAAAGAAAGCGUAAUAGCUCACUGGUCGAGUCGGCCUGCGCGGAAGAUGUAACGGGGCUAAACCAUGCACCGAAGCUGCGGCAGCGACACUAUGUGUUGUUGGGUAGGGGAGCGUUCUGUAAGCCUGCGAAGGUGUGCUGUGAGGCAUGCUGGAGGUAUCAGAAGUGCGAAUGCUGACAUAAGUAACGAUAAAGCGGGUGAAAAGCCCGCUCGCCGGAAGACCAAGGGUUCCUGUCCAACGUUAAUCGGGGCAGGGUGAGUCGACCCCUAAGGCGAGGCCGAAAGGCGUAGUCGAUGGGAAACAGGUUAAUAUUCCUGUACUUGGUGUUACUGCGAAGGGGGGACGGAGAAGGCUAUGUUAGCCGGGCGACGGUUGUCCCGGUUUAAGCAUGUAGGCUGGUUAUCCAGGCAAAUCCGGAUAAUCAAGGCUGAGGUGUGAUGACGAGGCACUACGGUGCUGAAGUAACAAAUGCCCUGCUUCCAGGAAAAGCCUCUAAGCAUCAGGUAACAUCAAAUCGUACCCCAAACCGACACAGGUGGUCAGGUAGAGAAUACCAAGGCGCUUGAGAGAACUCGGGUGAAGGAACUAGGCAAAAUGGUGCCGUAACUUCGGGAGAAGGCACGCUGGUGUGUAGGUGAAGUCCCUGCGGAUGGAGCUGAGACCAGUCGAAGAUACCAGCUGGCUGCAACUGUUUAUUAAAAACACAGCACUGUGCAAACACGAAAGUGGACGUAUACGGUGUGACGCCUGCCCGGUGCCGGAAGGUUAAUUGAUGGGGUUAUCCGUAAGGAGAAGCUCUUGAUCGAAGCCCCGGUAAACGGCGGCCGUAACUAUAACGGUCCUAAGGUAGCGAAAUUCCUUGUCGGGUAAGUUCCGACCUGCACGAAUGGCGUAAUGAUGGCCAGGCUGUCUCCACCCGAGACUCAGUGAAAUUGAACUCGCUGUGAAGAUGCAGUGUACCCGCGGCAAGACGGAAAGACCCCGUGAACCUUUACUAUAGCUUGACACUGAACAUUGAGCCUUGAUGUGUAGGAUAGGUGGGAGGCUUUGAAGCGUGGACGCCAGUCUGCGUGGAGCCAACCUUGAAAUACCACCCUUUAAUGUUUGAUGUUCUAACGUUGGCCCCUUACCGGGGUUGCGGACAGUGUCUGGUGGGUAGUUUGACUGGGGCGGUCUCCUCCCAAAGCGUAACGGAGGAGCACGAAGGUUAGCUAAUCCUGGUCGGACAUCAGGAGGUUAGUGCAAUGGCAUAAGCUAGCUUGACUGCGAGCGUGACGGCGCGAGCAGGUGCGAAAGCAGGUCAUAGUGAUCCGGUGGUUCUGAAUGGAAGGGCCAUCGCUCAACGGAUAAAAGGUACUCCGGGGAUAACAGGCUGAUACCGCCCAAGAGUUCAUAUCGACGGCGGUGUUUGGCACCUCGAUGUCGGCUCAUCACAUCCUGGGGCUGAAGUAGGUCCCAAGGGUAUGGCUGUUCGCCAUUUAAAGUGGUACGCGAGCUGGGUUUAGAACGUCGUGAGACAGUUCGGUCCCUAUCUGCCGUGGGCGCUGGAGAAUUGAGGGGGGCUGCUCCUAGUACGAGAGGACCGGAGUGGACGCAUCACUGGUGUUCGGGUUGUCAUGCCAAUGGCACUGCCCGGUAGCUAAAUGCGGAAGAGAUAAGUGCUGAAAGCAUCUAAGCACGAAACUUGCCCCGAGAUGAGUUCUCCCUGAGACUUUAAGUCUCCUGAAGGAACGUUGAAGACGACGACGUUGAUAGGCCGGGUGUGUAAGCGCAGCGAUGCGUUGAGCUAACCGGUACUAAUGAACCGUGAGGCUUAACCUUACAACGCCGAAG